CUCCUGUCGGCUUCCUCCUCUACAUACUACAUAGAUGCUACCGCCAUCGCCACUCCUCAGCCGCUGUCAUCCCUCUCUCUUUCUCUCUCUCUGGGAUGCAGAUCUAAGCGAUUUUGAUAUGUCGGAGAUCACGGUGAUGGUCCCUCAUCGCUGCCCAUCUCCAUCAUCUACGUCGCUGUCUCUGUCUCUUGCCCAUUUUCGUGCCAUCUCUGCCGCCGUACCUCGAAACCCUAGAAAUUUAUCACCACUGUGAGGAUUCGCAACGACUCCUUCGAGUUAGAGUAGAACAACCAUAGUCGGAGCUGUAAACAAGCACUUCUUCUAAGUUUUGGUCCUAGGGGAGAUCUCUGGCUUUAGCCGACUGGGCAUCGAUCUCUCGUAAGUUGAUUUGGACUCCAUCUUCUGGUGAAGAUGAGGUAUUUAAACAAAGAUCCUUGUUGAGGCACUUAUCAAAAGCAGACCCCCAAUUCGAAAGAUACCUCUUUGAUUUCUUAAAGAACUUUCAACUCCAAUCCCAACCAGCUCAUUAGGAUUUGAAUCCCCAAUUCAAUUCGGUGUUGAAGAAUAAGAUUGUCCUCUGGUCCAGAAUUGAAGAAGAUCUACGUGCGGGACCAGGCUUAUGCUGUUGCUUGGAGGUCUGUCUUGUCAAGCCAACUGAUGUGCCUCCCAAGGAGGUUCCCAAGUGUUUCUGUGGUCAAGUCAAGUGCACAUGAUGUCUGUCUUUAUCUUCUCUUUCUUUUGCUUAACAAGACUUUUGUUUAGUCUGUAUAUGAGGCUAAGUCCCUUUUUGUUUUGUUUGUAAGUGGGUGACGUAAGACAAUGAUAUAUAUGUACUUAUGACGUCACUAUAUAAAUAUAUAUGUGAAUAUAAGUUUUAAAUUUUCUGUCUCAUAUACGUCUACACAGCUCUAUGGACAUUGUAUUUUGAUAUUUGCUUCCGCUUGCCCCUUAUUUUGUUAAUAUGACUUAGAGGCCUUUGGUAAUCUUAGGAUUAUUGACCGGUUACGAUGCACAACCUAUAGGGGCGGGUUUGGGUCGUGACAGAACCCCAGAAGCCAAGCUGUCCAACGUCAAAUUCUACUCACAAUGCAUUGCCAAACACCCCAAAGACGGGUGCUAAAGAAUCUCUAGUUGAGAACACCAAGGCACUAUCAUCCCUUGUUGCUCGAGUUCUUCCAUGCAACUUAGCGCAUCUUCAUCUUCUUUUUCUUUUUCUCCAUCGUGAGUCUCUUUUGGUCUCAUCACCCACAAG
This is a non-coding RNA of Camellia sinensis, 1252 nucleotides long. The record is from RefSeq and is a predicted model, not a curated record. NCBI's taxonomy places the organism in Eukaryota, Viridiplantae, Streptophyta, Magnoliopsida, Ericales, Theaceae.